This is an RNA transcript of Carlito syrichta (Philippine tarsier), 848 nucleotides long. It is a transcript of the gene named actin-related protein 2/3 complex subunit 3 pseudogene, with no coding region annotated. The record is from RefSeq and is a predicted model, not a curated record. The transcript has a single exon. Lineage: Eukaryota; Metazoa; Chordata; Mammalia; Primates; Tarsiidae.
UGCACUCUAACCAGAUUUUACUCCUCUGGGUUAAAACCCGGGCAGAGCCAAGAUGCCGGCUUACCACUCUUCUCUCACUGCCCCUGACCCCAAGCUCAUCAGUUACAUGGCACUGUUACCUAUCAGAAGUCAGUUCAAAGGAUCUGCUCCCAGAGAGACAAAAGAUACAGGUAUUGUGGAUGAAGCCUUCUAUUACUUCAAGGCCAAUGUCUUCUUCAAAAACUAUGAAAUUAAGAAUGAAGCUGGUAGAACCUUGCUAUAAUAACUCUACAUUUCUGAGUGUCUAAAGAAACUCCAGAAGUGUAAUUCCAAAAGCCAAGGUGAGAAAUAAAUGUAUACACUGGAAAUCGCUAAUGUUCCCAUUUCUGGAGAGCUUGGUUUCCCACUUAAUGCAAUUUAUGCCAAAACUGUAAACAAACAGGAAGAUGAUGUGAUGAGAACCUACCUACAGCAGUUAAGGCAAGAGACUGGACUGAAACUUUGUGAGAAAGUUUUUGGCCCACAGAAUAAUAAACCCAGUAAGUGGCGGACUUGCUUUGUGAUGAGGCAGUUCAUGAACAAGAGUCUUUUUGGACCUAGACAGUGAGGGGAGCCUGGGGAGUCACUGUCUCCAAAGCCCUGGGCAGCAUUUUCAAGCAAGAUGUAUACAAUCCUUUGUCUUUAUUUCAUGAAGUUUUAUACAGAAGAGAGAAGAGUAUGUCUUUACUUGAAAACCUCUUGAUGAAGAAUUUGGGAGGGUGAGUGGAAAGUGGAUUGUCAAGGGUGACCUGAAAUUUUCUGCAGUAUUAAACUGGUGCUUAAUAAGAGUUAAGUAAUAACAAAGAAAUUUCUAACAUUCAAAAAAAAAA